Molecule: ribosomal RNA, 253 nt
Filed under: uncultured bacterium
Lineage: Bacteria
Description: partial 16S ribosomal RNA
Rfam family: Bacterial small subunit ribosomal RNA
Source: RNAcentral
GACGGAAGGUGCAAGCGUUGCUCGGAAUCACUGGGCGUAAAGGGUGCGUAGGCGGCGCGGUAAGUCGGGUGUGAAAGCCCUCAGCUCAACUGAGGAAGUGCGCCCGAAACUGCAGAGCUUGAGUGCCGGAGAGGGUGGCGGAAUUCCCCAAGUAGAGGUGAAAUUCGUAGAUAUGGGGAGGAACACCGGUGGCGAAGGCGGCCACCUGGACGGUAACUGACGCUGAGACGCGAAAGCGUGGGGAGCAAACAGG